Molecule: ribosomal RNA, 253 nt
Filed under: uncultured bacterium
Lineage: Bacteria
Description: partial 16S ribosomal RNA
Rfam family: Bacterial small subunit ribosomal RNA
Source: RNAcentral
UACGGAGGAUCCAAGCGUUAUCCGGAUUUAUUGGGCUUAAAGGGUGCGUAGGCGGCCUAUUAAGUCAGGGGUGAAAGACGGUAGCUUAACUAUCGCAGUGCCUUUGAUACUGAUGGGCUUGAAUGUACUUGAGGUAGGCGGAAUGUGACAAGUAGCGGUGAAAUGCAUAGAUAUGUCACAGAACACCAAUUGCGAAGGCAGCUUACUAAAGUAUGAUUGACGCUGAGGCACGAAAGCGUGGGGAUCGAACAGG